This 406-nucleotide ribosomal RNA is filed under the name uncultured bacterium. RNAcentral describes it as "partial 16S ribosomal RNA". It matches the Rfam family "Bacterial small subunit ribosomal RNA", at positions 29 to 526 of the family's 1533-position model. The record is from RNAcentral.
AUUGAACGCUGGCGGCAGGCCUAACACAUGCAAGUCGAACGAGUGGCGGACGGGUGAGUACUGUCUGGGAAACUGCCCGAUGGAGGGGGAUAACUACUGGAAACGGUAGCUAAUAACGCAUACCAUCGGAUGUGCCCAGAUGGGAUUAGCUAGUGGGUGGGGUAACGGCCCACCUAGGCGACGAUUCCUAGCAGGUCUGGGAGGAUGACCAGGCACAUUUGGACUGAGGAACGGGCCAAACCGCUACGGGAGGCAGCAGUGGGGAAAUUUUCGCAAAGGGCGAAAGUCUUGCGAAGGAAAUACGGGGGAGUGAUGGAGGGCUUCGGGUUGUAAAGUCUUUUAAGCUGGACGACGUUACCGGCAUAGAAAGCCACGGCUAACUACGUGCCAGCAGCCGCGGUAAUAC